UACGUAGGGUGCGAGCGUUAAUCGGAAUUACUGGGCGUAAAGUGUGCGCAGGCGGCCGAGCAAGUCGAGUGUGAAAGCCCCGAGCUUAACUUGGGAACUGCGCUCGAAACUACUUGGCUAGAGUGUGGCAGAGGGAGGUGGAAUUCCACGUGUAGCGGUGAAAUGCGUAGAGAUGUGGAGGAACACCGAUGGCGAAGGCAGCCCCCUGGGUUAACACUGACGCUCAGGCACGAAAGCGUGGGGAGCAAACAGG
This 253-nucleotide ribosomal RNA is filed under the name uncultured bacterium. RNAcentral describes it as "partial 16S ribosomal RNA". It matches the Rfam family "Bacterial small subunit ribosomal RNA", at positions 524 to 776 of the family's 1533-position model. The record is from RNAcentral.